Lolium perenne is the source of this 539-nucleotide non-coding RNA. The record is from RefSeq and is a predicted model, not a curated record. NCBI's taxonomy places the organism in Eukaryota, Viridiplantae, Streptophyta, Magnoliopsida, Poales, Poaceae.
CACCGAGAUCGACGAGGAAUGGGGAGGCGGCGCGCAAGCUCGAGGUGGAAGGAGACCAUGGUGGCUAGGGUUUCUCGAUGCGCGUGGGGAGGGCGCCGCCAGGCCAUUGACGAGCACUCUCGCGCUCCCAUCACCAUCCGCCAGCGUGUCUCCGGCGAGAGGAGGAGGCCACUGUUGACGAGCACGAUGAGGAUGAGGUCACGCGGGGGAAGACAUAGUCGGGCUUGCAUGAGGUGCUUGGCCUCCACUGAUGCGUCCUCAACUGCGUGGUGAGAAGUGGCUGCGGCAUCUGGCCGUCGGUGCGGCUCCGGUCGUGUUUACGACCAACACCAAGAGGAAAGCGACAAAUCAACUAGAGAAUUAGCCUGGACAAGUAUAUGAGUGAGAAAAGUUACAAGAAAAGGAUUUCUAGGAGCGUGUCGACCAUAACCAAAAGGAUGACCAUGACCAACAAAGAUGAUUUUGCUACAGACUGCAUGUUUGAUGAGGGAGAUGGACCGGGGAAGAAGGCGUUGGGGCUGUGGUGGGCGGCUAGCGGC